GACGGAGGUAGAAGUGAAAGAUGGAUCAAAGGACGAAGAUGAAUGCGAUUAGGUCGGGGAUAGUGGUGGUGGGAACUUUGGCAUUCGGAUACCUAACCCUACAGCUGGGGUUCAAGCCCUUUCUCGAGAAAGCUCAAGAAAAACUCGAAAAACCUGACCCCUCUCCACCCUCCCAGUAGACACGCCACACUCUUAGCUCUCUUUUAGAUCCCUUUUUUUUUUUUUUUUUUGUCGGGUUUGUUUCUGUACUCAACUGAGCUACGGUCUGUCUGGAUCGAGAGACAAGGGGAGAUAAAGAUGGAUUGGCAAGAAAAUUUGGAAGAUGAAGAUGAAAAUUGGUUACUGAAUUGAUAUCAAAGAAGACGGAUGGCUGUGGCUCAAGUUCUUUGUUUGGUCACAUAUGAAAUGUACAUGGGUCAUGUAUAAUGCCAUAAAUACCUUGUUGAUCAGCCUGCAGCAUCUUUGAAUAGCAAAAAACACAAGGGUUUGGGGGAUGAUUUUUGUAUGUGAGAGUUUGAAGGUAUAAGGGCAGCAAUUAAAAAUGUUGCAGAAGCAAUCAGGGAGGGAAAUGCUAUUAUAAAGAAAGGUCAAGCUCAUGUUUAAUUGGAGGAAGAAGUUUUUUCUGAAUUGGUGAACAUGGGUGUUGAACGGAACUUACGCUACCGGGCCUAUACUUUCCUUACUGAAGAUGCUGUGGGGGUGUUCUUUGGCUGCCCAAUUGAUGAGCACAAGAAGUUUUUGCUUCAAAUGAUGUGUGGUCCCUUUGAUCCUUGAUGAGCCUGUGUUAUGGUGAAUGAGACAAGAUGGAACUUCUUUGUGAUGUUUUGUGGUUGUUUCUUUUGUGGAUGAUUAGGUGUGUUUUCUUCUUCUUCUUUCUUUGUGAUGUUCUUCCCUGGCAUUUUAGUUCUUGUUAGAGCCCCUCACCAAAUUUGCCGAGAAAAAACUUUCUCCACUUCAUAUUUUAUAUUUCUUCAAUUUCUUACUCUUGUCUUGCUUCAAGAGUUGAUUA
This is a long non-coding RNA of Alnus glutinosa, 1009 nucleotides long. RefSeq lists it as uncharacterized. Lineage: Eukaryota; Viridiplantae; Streptophyta; Magnoliopsida; Fagales; Betulaceae. The transcript has 2 exons. The record is from RefSeq and is a predicted model, not a curated record.